Long non-coding RNA from Loxodonta africana (African savanna elephant), 18852 nucleotides. RefSeq lists it as uncharacterized. Lineage: Eukaryota; Metazoa; Chordata; Mammalia; Proboscidea; Elephantidae. The transcript is spliced from 2 exons. The record is from RefSeq and is a predicted model, not a curated record.
CCCGCGGGCUCCCGGGUGCAUCGUGCCCACCGUCCCUGGCCCGUCGCCUGGCUGAGGGACGGGGGGACCCCUGCCCUGCCCGGCGCCCUCCCCGCCCCGGGGUGCGGGGUGCCCGGUCAGCCUCCCCUGGAAGGACUGGGUGCCAUAGCCCACCCCGGGGACCCUGGUGGCCUCGGAGUGACCUGGAGAACAAGGACGGUUUUUCUUUCACCCCCCAAAUUGGUAGCAGGCGGCGCUUUUCAAGGCUCCGGUGUAAAUGGUAUGCAUUAAUAUUUAAUAGCCGCCUCUUUGUGUAAUUGACGGGGAAGCUAGAAUUGAGACCCGGUAGCCGUGACGAAGGUCUCGUUUGGUUCAGCAUUUUGGGAUACAGCGUGCUCCUGUUGGAGCUGCCUUGUAGACUGUCACCUGGAAUUCUGGAAUUUGCAAAGGGCUGUAGAAUACCUCUCUAGUUCAGUCCCUUCAGCCGCAUGGGUGUCAGUUCUCCUGAUUGUCGCUGUCCCCUCUGCUUCCUACAAGUUGUGCGUUUUGUUCCUUUACUGACUUGUCUAGGGUGAGGGUAGAAGACAGGCAGGGGGAACAUUUCCCCAGGUUUUCGUGUUUGCAGGCUUAGCUCCCGAGUCAUUUCCAUGAGAAAUUUUUUCCGUAUUCUUGAAAUGUGAGGUGUUGAAAUUUAGCCUGUAAGAUGGCUAAAUUUUAAAAUUUAGGUAUCAGGUGUCUCAAGACUAUUUGUGUCAUGUAGCUGAAAAAACAAAGGAGACAAAGAAGUCGAAUCUUUUUUGACGGGGCCCACAUUGAAUAGGACUGUUGACAUAGAAAUAAAUUCCUGACUUUUCAUGAACUGCUGCUGGUCUAGAAUAUGUGAUGCUUGUCACUCUUUAAAGUUAUAUGGAGCUGGUUGAAAAUUAGCUUUUACCUUUGUUUUUAACGUGAUGGAAAGCAACCAUUGCAGAUGAGCCUGGGUUGAUUCAGGGUCCUAUUACUGCUAGCCUAAGAUCUUCAGUUGCUUCAUAAUCUGCAGACUCAGUUUCUUCAUCUUUAAAAUGGAUAUUCGAGAAGUAAUAACGCCAAAUUUUUAAGGUUGUGGGGAGGACUGAAUGAGAUAACGUAUUUAAAGUGGUUAACAACACCAUAGAUUUUUGUGAUGGGCUUAACUGGAUUAAAAGAUAUUUAUGAGCAGAACUCUUUUUUAAAAAAUGGAAUUAGUGCUCUACGUAUGUGAUAUUUGUAAGGUAGAGGUACGUUUUAGGAUCCAAAAGCAAAAUGAUUCCAGAAAAAUGUUUUUAAUUUACUAAUUUCAAUUAAUUACUGCUCAUGACUAAAUGAAAAUGAACUUAAGGCAGUAUGAUGGCAUUGAAAUGGAUUUUGUUUUAAAAUAAGACUUUCCAGACACUGUCAUUGUUUUAAUUUGGUGAAUUCCCUUCCACUACUCCUGUGUGUUUGAUAUUAGGUGAUUCUGUGUGUAGUGAGACAAUAAGUGGCAGUUUUGUUCAUUUCUUGUUCCUAAUUUGCACUGUCCCUAUGUUGCACCAUGGUCUUUGGGUGUGUGUGUUUAACCAUUAUUUUUAACCCUCCAUUGACUCCGGCUUGGAAGCCCUGCUGGCGCAGUAGUUAAGAGCUACGGCUGCUAACCAAAAGGUUGGCAGUUUGAAUCCACCAGGCGCUCCUUGGGAACCCUAUGGGGCAGUUCUGCUCUGUCCUACAUGGUCGCUAUGAGUCGGAAUUGACUUGACGGCAUUGGGUUUUGACACCAUCUCAUGUCGGGAGACUGAAUGUCCUUAGACAACCCAGAUUCCUCUGCCCCUCAUACUUCGAAGAGAUUGUUUUGUUAUGAGCUUAAUAGUUCAUAAAAUUGCAUCUAAUAUCAAAUUGUAUGAGCUUGAAAUGAAAAUAUUUUUCUUUUGGUGCUAUUGGAAUUUUUCAUGAAAGUCCUUUUCAGCUUGGGAAGAAAGCAGAAACAGAUUUUAAUACUGCUUACAUAAAUACUGAAUUUUCUAAAAUAACAAUAAAGAUUUCUGAGACACAUUUUGCCAUCCACCUACCAUGGCAGCAUUCAGUCAGCGCCGAUGGAGGGAAGAAGUGUCCAGAUAGACAUUGUGGUUGCCUUUGUUAUGUGUUUGAGGGUGUUAGGUAGGGAGACACUUGGCUCUACUAUGUCCUUCAUGAAUUACGGUGGCCUCCGAAGUGCUACGCGUUGAAAUUAGUUAUUUGCAGAUAAUGGACGUUGUGUUUUAGAGUUCCCCAUUUAAAAAGCAAACCUGAGACUCUCACAAGGCUUUACAUUUCCAGAAACAACUGAGAAUAGAGAUGGUGAGACAGACCUGUGUACCCCACACCCAAAUGGCAGUUUAAUGUUAGCUUGCUGCUCCUUAAUGGAGAACGGAGUCACAGCCAGGAACCUGUGUGUAGUGUGUGUGUGAGAGAGAGAGCCAUUCUCAAAGCAUUUUCGUACAAAUCCCAUUUCACCUGUCCCCUCUGCUCCGUAGUCUGAGAAGUAGAUGUUAGCACCAAUUUGUGGGUGAAAUAGCAGUGACUUUUAGAGACCUGCUCAAUGAGCUCUGCCAAGAUCACACGGUUGUAAAAGGCCAGGUGUUCUGCGCCUCCGGCGUGGCUUUCUGACUUAGCAGAAGUUCCUGCAAGGGAGAAAUCCAGAUACAAGGCUCUUCCUGCUACAAAACUUUCUCAAGGCUAUCUUUGAGCAUGAGUAAUUUUAAUAUUUUUAAAGGAAAAUCCAAAUGUUUAUUGAACUCUGGGAUGUACCCAGGGGUGGAUUAGCCAGUAAGCAAGGUACGCCCGGGCUUACCUGUGUUACUCACCUGUAGUGCACAAUUAAAUGUGGGUUUCACCACUGUGGCCCCUCGUGGUUCAGGCAGUCACUGAAUCUCCCUGGUCCUGACCUAGUGACACCCAGAAGGACCAUAACAUUAGUGUUGAAUCGUUCUCUCUUUUGGAAGAUUUUGAGAACGGGCUUCAGUGAAGUUUGCUUUUAACAUGAAAAACACACUUCUUCUCCGAAACACAUGGGGUUGCCUUGAGUCGGAAUUGGCAACAGCAGCUGGUUUUAUAUUUAAUGAGUUUUUACUACAGUGAUUAAAAUUAUAUCUUCAUGCCUGCUUUUAGGGCAGUUUCUUCAUAUCUUGAUUACUUUCCUGUGUUUUGAUAAGAAAACUUCCUAAGGAAAAUAAUAAUAGCUAACAUUUAUAGAGCAUUUACAUGGAUUAGGUGUGUUUCCAUACUCUGAUUAUCUCCUUAAAGAUCAGGAAAUGGACACAGAGCUGUUAGGUAAAUUGCCCAAGGGUUACACAGCUAGAAUGAGGCAAAGUCAAGAUGGAAAGCUGUACAGCCAGGCUCUAGAGCCAAUACUCUUUUUUUUUUUUUUAAUUAUACUUCAGAUGAAGGUUUCAGAACGAUCUAGCUUCUCAUUGAAUACUUAGUACACAUAUGCUUUGUGACAUUGGUUACCAACCCCUCGACACAUCAACACUUUCCUCUUCUCGACCUUGGGUUCCCUAUUACCAGCUUUCCUGUCCCCUCUUGCCUUCUGGUCCUUGCACCUGGGCUUUUGUGCCUCUUUAGCCUCUUUUUGUUUUAUGGACCUGUCUAAUCUUUGGCUGAAGGGUGAACCUCAGGAGUGACUUCAUUACUGAGCUAGAAGGGUGUUCGGGGGCUGUACUCUAGGGGUGUCUCCAGUCUCUGUCAGGCCAAUAAGUCUGGUCUUUUUCUGUGAGUUAGAAUUUUGUUCUACAUUUUUCUCUAGCUCUGUCUGGGACCCUCUAUUGUGAUCCCUAUCAGGGCAGUUGGUGGUGGUAGCCGGGCACCAUCUAGUUGUGCCGGACUCGGACUGGUGGAGUCUUUGGUAGUUGUGGUUCAUUAGUCCUUUGGACUAAUCUGUCCCUUGUGUCUUUGGUUUUCUUCAUUCUCCUUUCCUCCAGAUGGGGUAAGACCAGUGGAGCAUCUUAGGUGGCCUCUCACAAGCUUUUAAGACCCUAGACGCUAGCCACUAAAGUAGAAUGUAGAACAUUUUCUUUAUACACUAUGUUAUGCCAGUUGAGUUAGAUGUUCCCUGAGACCAUGGUCCCCACAGCCCUCAGCCCAGUAACUCGGUCCCUCAGGGAGUUUGGAUGUGUUUGUGGAGCUUCCAUGACCUUGCCUUGGACAGGAUGUCAGAGCCAGUCCUCUUAACCUGUACUGCUAGAGUAUCUCCCUAAAGGAAAGGAAAGCUUCCUUAGUAGGAAAAGUAAGAGGAUGCUUUACAGUUACUCACAGAUUUUAUCUGGUUCUCCCAAGAGUAUCUAUUUCAGUACCAAAAAAGCUCAUUGAUUUAGGUUAAUUGAUUUCAUUGUCUAAUGAAACAUAUUUGUAAUCCUGUUCCCAGUGCAGUUCGUGUCUCAUAGAUAGGACGUCAGUAUAACUUUCUGAAUUGAGGUUAUUGUGAAUUAAGGAAAUGGAGCCCUGGUAGCGCAGUGGUUAAGAGCUCAAUUGCUAACCAAAAGGUCAUCAGUUCGAAUCCACCAGCCACUCCUUGGAAACCCUAUGGGGCAGCUCUACUCUGUCUUACAUAGAGUCACUGUGAGUUGGAAUUGACUGGAGAGCAGUGGGUUUGGUUUUUGGUUUAGUGUCCUCAUCUACUAACCUGAAGAUUGGUGGUUCCAACCUCUCCCCCAGCCCCCAGGCGCGCUGUGAAAGAAGGGCCUGGAGAUCUGCUUCCACAAAGAUUACAGCAAAGAAAAUCUUAUGGAGCACUUCUACUCUGUAGCAUGUGGGGUCCCCAUGAAUUAGAAUCCGCUCAGUGGCAGCAGGGUUAGUUGGCCCUUUGGCAAGUCAUUUAAGCCUCAUAUUUCUUAUCCGUAAAUUAAGCUAUUUGGAUUUAGUGAUUUCCGAAGUCUUGUCUGAGCUGACGUUCCAUAAAUUUUUUUAUGUGACUCCAAAAUUUGGGAGUUAUUAAACAUUUUAAAAUAAAUUUUUUGAAGACACAUUGCAGUUGGUGUAAAAUAUUUCCUUGUAGAUGUAAGCUGUUGGAUUCCAGCCAGGGAAGAAAUGCAGGCUCUGUUCAGAGUCAUGUGGCAUCCUGUUAUCUUGUAAUGGCUGGGGUCAGCAGACUUGUCUGUAAAGAGCCAGGUAGUAAGUCGUUUAGGCUUUGUGAGCCAUGCAGUCUCUGUGACAGCUAGUCAGCUCUAUCCUUGUAGCCCCAAAACAGCCAUAGACAAUACGUAAAUGAAUGAGCGUGGUGGUAUUUCAGUAAAACUUUAUUUACAAAAACAGGCGACACCCUAGAAUUGGCUUGUGUGCUGAAGUUUGUGGACCUGCUUUAGGUUAUUAUGGGCAUCAGCUUUUAUCACUUAGCAAAGAUGCCAGUUAAUAGAGGUUUCUGGUUCAUGGAAUAUGGUGUUUGGCGCAUAACAGGCACUCAGUAGGUAAAGGAGCCCUGGUGGCGCAGCGGUUAAGAGUUUGACUGCUAACCAAAGGGUCGGCAGUUGGAGUCCACCAGCCACUCCUUGGAAACCCUGUGGGGCAGUUCUACUCUGUCAGUAAAUAAACAUCGGAUGAAUGAUGGACAGCGUUUACUUAAAGUAUCGUAGUCUGAAUAUGGGUUUAAGAAGCGUUAAGAGGAGUUCAUAAUAUUUCCCUCAAUGCACCCAUCAAAAACAGAAAACAGAGCCAGAAGUAGCACAGAUGUAGUUCAGUAGAGUGAUAAUUCAGCUGACGAGAGGCCCGAAUGAGAAGAAACGUCAGCAACAGCACUUUGAAAGGAACCUUGAAUUGGGAACAAGAAAGGACCCGUGUUCUGCAUGGGGCGCUGUACUAGUGAGUGAGUGACCCUGGGCUAAUCUUUUUUGUUUGGGCUUUCUUUUCUUUAUUUGUAAAAUCAGGCCAGUGGCUGUCAGAAGGACCUUACAGAUUACUUCUUUAUUCAUUUGUUCAUCAGAUAUUUAUUAGAACCAUGUUUUGCGUAAAAUGCUGUGCUGAGUCAUUUGGGGAAAACAGGGCUGACAAAGACCCAGUCCCUGCCCUCCAGGAGCUUGUAAACUCCCGUGAGGAAGAGAGCCAAAGGAAUGAAAAUCACAUAGAUCAGAUUUUGUGGAAAAGAUGGCAUCAGAGUAGAAUUUUGCUAAGUAAGGUGAGGAGAACACUGCGGGCUGAGGGAACGUGUUACAGUAGCUAAAACCUGGUGAAAAGGACCGAGCGUCUCAGGUGUGGUGGAAGGAGUCCUGGCCUAGAGGCCCAAGACCUGGGAGUCAGCCUUUUUCUUGCCAUUGGAUACUGUGGGAUUAUUGGCAAAUUGCAGCCUCUGACCUCUAAACUGAGGUUCUUGCAUACUUUAUGAGAUUAAAAGACUGAAAGAAAUUAAGUCUGAAACUCUUUCUUCUUAAAACUGGAAAUCGCUGUUUUAAAUGAUAAAAGUAAUAUGUGGUUCUUGCCAGAGAGGGAGAGAAAAAACAUAGAAAUGAAGGAGGAUAAGUGAAAAUAAUGCACGAGUCUGCCACCUGGAGACAAUCAGUGUCUGUGUUCAGACCUUUUCUGUGUGUAUGUUUGUUUUUUAAAUAAAAACAGCCUCGUAUGUUAACGCAGUAUGUAGAUUUGUCCCUUUUUUGGUUGACUAGUGUAUAUGGCAUAUAAUUCAUGGGUAGACAGAUUUUUUUUUUUUUAACGUUAUAGAUAAUACUGUGAAACACUUCUUUUUACACCUUGUUUUCCAUUUGUCCAGUACUCAGGACCAAUUCUUAGAAGUGGAAUUACUGGGUCAAAAGCAUAUAAAUCUUUCUAUAUAGUCCCCCCCGUCCGUUUGUCAUAGUGUGGUGGCUUGUGUGUUGCUAUGAUGUUUGAAGCUAUACCACUGGGAUUUCAAAUACCAGCAGAGUCACCAAUGGUGGAUAGAUGUCAGUAUAACUUCCAGACUAAGACACACUAGGAAGAAAGGCCUAGCAAGCUACACCCAGAAAUGAGCCAGUGGAACCCUACUGAGGGAGCUCCCUGUGAGUCGGAGCUGACCUGACGGCCGCUAACAACAGUAAUAUAUAUUGUGAGUCUUCAAGAAAAUUUGUACCAUUUUCUGUUUUCUCCGUCAGUAUGUUAAGAGUAGUGUUUGUCUAGCACCAUUGCCAGUACUAAAUAUUAUUCAUUUUAAUCUUUGGUAGGUUAAAAAUUGGCAUCUUAAUUUAAAGACAGUCUGACUGUAGAAUACCAAAACCAGACCAAAUUCACUGCAGUUGAGUCGAUUCCAACUCAUGGUGACCCCACGGGACAGGAUAGAACUACCCCGUCGGGUUUCCAAGGAUGUAGAUCUUCGUGGAAGCAGACUGCCACACCUUUCUCCCACUGAGCGGCUGGUGGGUUCAAACCACUGAUCUUUUAGUUCGCAGCUGAGCACUUAACCACUGUGCCACCAAGGCCUUGGUAAAUGUUUAUUGAAUUAAAUUCAGUGAUUUUUAGUUUAUGUCUAGUCGGUCUGUGAGAGUGAGGGAAUGAUAAAGGAUAAUGAAUUCCAGUUUUUAUCGGAAUGUGUCUGCUAAAUGUUGCUAACCAGAGGUGAAGCUUUGGCCCACGGAAGAGAUGGGAGAAUUGCGCAUGGUGCAUAUUACUUCUAUUGGGUGCUCUACCAGAUGUUAGAUACUAGGUGGCAAGCGUGAGGGUUUUCAGCCCCGGGUCACAUAGCUGAGCUAGGAUUGAAAAUCAGGUUUGUCUGACUCCAAAGGGCAUCACCUUUCCCCUGUCCAGGCACUCCUUGACGUACUGGAGGGAUGUAGUCAUAAACAGUUACUUAGAAUCAUCAGGGUGCAGCUGCUGCUGCUGCUGAACGGCCUCUCCUUGCUCUUGCCCGCUGAGAAGCGCUCUGAGAAGGGGGAGCAGACCCAACACUCCCCUUCCCAGCACUCCAGAUGAUGAACCAAAGGCUGUGCAGAAGACCUGAGCAUAAAAAUAGUUCAGUGGAGAACCGUCAUAUCUCUGGUUGCCAGAGCGUUCAGAUGAAAUAGGAUGACUUAGUUUACGCCGCGCAAGGCCAGAUAAAAACUGUCAACUUUACAGUGUCGAUUCCUUGUUUGGACGAGGAAGGGACGUGGCGAGUGGAAGUCCCUCUGCCCUGCUUGUCAUGAAGCUGUGGACUGUAACGUCACCAGCAGAGGUCUAGAAAUGUGAAUGAGAGCCCUGCAUGCAGAGCAGGCGUUGGGUGCACAAAUGCUUGCAAAGCAGGAAGAGUUCAGUGCUUCAGCCUUCCACGACAGGAGAGGAAAGUCAGGGGAAGAGGAGGGAGAGUACUCACUGCUUCUUAGCUCUACCUGUUGUCAUCCCCGUUUAUCUGAAGCUAGGUGGAGAUACAGAAGCUGCUCCAGGAACAACAGGGAGUGGUGUCAUGUCAUUUCUGGGCUCUUGGUCCAAAUCCUGGCCUUUGUUCAACAAGCUGCAUAAUCUCUCAGAUAAUACUGCUCACCUUUUAGGAUUAUUGUGAGGAUUAGAUGAGAGAAUGUUUGUAAAACACUUAUAACAGUGGCAUAUGCUGGAAAUGUGCAAUAAAAGGUAGCAGUUAUUAAUGUAUUGUGUGUAGCUAGGCAUUUUGAUUCGACCACUUAUUUUCACAUGAUUCGUGUUUUUAUUUCAUCAACGUUUAUCAGACGACAUACUGUGUUGGGCAAAUCUGCAAAAGACCUCUUUAAAGUGUUAAAAAAAAAAAAAAAGCAAAGGUGUCACCUUGAGGGUAAAGGUGCGCUUGACCCAAGCCAUGGUAUUUUCAGUUGCCUUGUGUGCAUGCAAAAGCUGGACAAUGAAUGAGGAAGACCAGAGAAGAAUUGGUGCCUUUGAACUGUUAUUUUAGUGAAGAAUAUUGCAUAUACCGUGGGCUUCCAGAGGAUUGAGCUGAUCUGUCUUGGAAGAAGUACAGCCAGAAUGCUUCUUAGAAGUGAGGCUGGUGAGACUGUCUCACUUACUGUGGACAUGUUUUCAGGAGGGACGUCUCUUUCAGGAGAAGGACAUCAUGCUGGGUAAAGUAGAGGGUCGGCGAAGAAAAGGAGGACCCUCGAGAUGGACCGACACAGUGGCUGCAACAAUGGGCUGAAACAUAGCGACAAUUGUGAGGAUCGAGCAGGACCGGGCAGUGUUUCGUUCUGUUGUGCACAGGAUUGCUGUGAGUCAGAAUCGACUCCACGGCGCCUAACAACAACAGCAACAUGUUUUUAUGUUACCUUUUUAAAACACAAAAUGUUUUAAAUGUCUUAUAAAGGAGUUUUAUUUCUAGCGUGUCAUUGAGUAAAUCGUAACGCGUGAUAAUGGUGGUAGAGCCUUCAGUUAUCUCCCUAGAGAUUUUGUCUGACUCCCCUUCAUUCAGAAGGCGGAGAGCAAACAGGAUUACUUUCCUGGGUUCACACAGCUUUUGGUGACAUGGUUGCUGUAAGAAAUCAUGUCUCUAAAUCUUUGCCUUUUUAAUCUGUUAAUUAAACUGUUACAAAGUUAGCGGACAUUACAUCCCGCUGUUGAAUCAGAGAUCUGUUGGGGAGAAGAGACAGUAUCAUGAAUGCUGCUUUAUUUCUACACUGUGGUGAGGACUUUGUGUGGGGUUUAAAGAGAUUUUCUUUUGUAAUCAAUUUGGUUUUUUUUUUUAAUUGUGGUAAAUUUAUGUGCAACAAAUUUUUUGCCGUUUCAGCCUUCUUCACAUGUACAGUCCCCUGCUAUUAUGUUUUUCAUGUUGUUCAACCAUCAUCAUCUGUUUCUAAACAAUUUAGUUUUAAGAUGGAGCUGAGAAGAAGUGAGAAAUGGUGGUCUUCGUCGUUUAAUGGUGAAACAGAAGUUCUGUCGCGUGCUUGUGUCCUGUACUUGGCUCACAGGGAAUGACUAAUUUGGACAAGGCCCAGACAAUCGGUUGGAGUACAGGAUUAUUUGCUGUGGAGAAUUUCACUGUAGCCAGAUCAACAAAUCUUUCUUCCUCUGGUCAAUCCAUUAGGACAGGUGGCUGUUUUUGUGUGGCCAGCGAGCUAAAAAUGGUUUUUUACAUUUUUAAAGAGUUGGGGGGCGGGUGGGGAACAAAUAUGUGACAGACACCUUAUGGGGCCUUGCAAAGCCUAAAAUAUUUUACUGUCUAGUCCUUCACAGAAAGUUUCCCAGCCCUUGCACUGUUGUUAGGUGCCGUCGAGUCCGUUCCGAUUCAGCGACCUUACAUAGAGCAGAACAAAACAUUGCCCGGUCCUGCACCAUCCUCACAGUCCUUGCCGCAUUCCCCGUGUUUCCUUAUUUUAGUCUGGAAUCUCUGCUGAAACCUGUCCACCAUGGGUGACUGCUGGUAUUUGAAAUACCUUUGGCAUAGUUUCCAGCAUCAUGGCAACACACAGGCCACCACAGUACAACAAAUGAACAGAUCUCUAACUGUGUGGCUGGCAGGCUUAAAGGCGGUAUGUCGGUCUCACUGCCAGCACAGGCCAAGGAGCUGAAGAUACAGCGUUCCUGUGUUUGCAGAAGACAGGUAGAUGAGUUUCCAGCAUUGUUUGGGAGCCACAUAGUCCCCAUUGCUUUGCCACUUGAAAGAUGUAUUAAUUGCACAGAGCGAACUAUCUAUGAGAUUACUUUUAUUUUACUCCUUAAACUCUUAGCUUCUGUGUUUUGUUUUAAAAAAAAACAUGGGAUUUAGUGACUUUUGUUUUUCAAAUGGUUUGGCCAUUAAAGAUGAUUUUCAGGUGUCUAUUUUUUUUUUUUUUAAUCAAUGCCGAAGGUUAGGCAACCUGAAUAUAAACAGUUUACCCUUUUAAUUGCACAGUAGAAUAAAGAGAGGGUUCAUGAUAAAUUUUUCUAAAUAUUUUCUAACAUAGUCUAGCUUGCCUAUGGGAAAGUUAAAGUCCAACAACUCAGUCUAAUGAGCGGGCAAGAUUUUCCUAAGUUUGGUGAAGGAGGUAAUGCGUUACAAGCUUACACUGCUAAUUGAUCUGUUAUUAAUUAGAGGUGGCCACUUGAAUUUUAUAGAUGUGAGUAAUGAAUUAUUUGAAUAGAUCCUGGUAAAGACCCAAGGCAAGCAGUUACAGAUGAGGUAUAGUUAUGAAAAUAGAGGCUGUGGCUGUGAUUAAGAAAUUUGAGUGUUGGUAAAGGAUCUUUUAUGCGUGGGACAUGGUUUCUGUCUUUUCUCGUCUGUAAUCUCCUUACAAAGCAAGGGCUUUAUAUCCUGCUUACUGUUACGGGAACCUGCUCUAAGAGUAUUUCUUGAAUGAAGGGGCAGACUUAACAGUGUGUGGUAGUCUGCUGGAAGAUAAGACAAGUAAGCUAACUACAACACAAUAUCCUUUGGGAGCACGAAGGAGAGGGUGCUGAGCUGGACAUUUGAAGUCAAAGAAGCUUCCUGGUGGGAACAGAAUUGAGGCCAGCAGGAGGAGCCCUUAGGGCUCUCCCAGAUGAGGAGGGGAUGGGAACUAUGCCAGGAGAAGUGACAGCAAAUUUGAAGAUCAAGUAGGGUGAGAGCGAGGUCCCUUUACAGCACUGGAACAACUUGUGGGGAUGACUGAUCCUCGCAUGUGGGGGGCGAGGCAUGGUGAGAGAUGAGCAGAAAGAUAAGGGACCUUCGUAAGCAAUGUUGGCCUCACAGUUUACCCUGUACUGCAAGAGCAGCAGAGAGCCCCUGACAUCCGAUGAGAAUUUUCAAACAUAAAGAAAAGUUGAAGGAACAGUUGACACUCACAUGCCCCAACCUAGAUGCUACAAUUAACAUUUAACUAUAUUUGCUUUAUCACGUCUGUAUCUCUCUGUGUGAUCCAUUUUCUUGACGCAUUUCAAAGUCAGUUGCAGGUAUCAGUACACUUCCUUCCCUCUAAAUACUCAGUAAGCAUGUCAUCAACUAGCAUUACCUGAAGCUGCUAACCAAGAUGUUGGCAGUUAAAAUCCGCCAGGCGCUCCUUGGAAACUCUAUGGGGCAGUUCUCCUCUGUCCUAUAGGGUCACCAUGAGUCGGAAUCGACUCGACGGCAGUGGGUUUUUUUAGUGGGUAUAAAACAUAAAAUAAUACUUGUGAAAAGUGUGCUUCUUAGUUCAAGUAGAUACACGAACCUAAAUGGGCAGCUCCCGUCCGGAGGCAGGGUGAGAAGGCAGAAGGGGACAGGAACUGGUUGGAUGGAUACAGGAAACCCGGGGUGGAAAGGGGGAGUGUGCAGUCACAUUAUGGGAAUUGCAAGUAGGGUCACAUAACAAUAUGUGUAUAAAUUUUUGUAUGAGAAACUUAACUUGAGCUGUAAACUUUCAUCUAAAGCACAAUUAAAAGAAAAAAGGUUAUGUGUCAGCUUGGCUAGGCCAUGAUUCUCAGUGGUGUGACAGUUAUGCAACGAUGCAAUCUGCAGUUAGGUGAUGAUGUCACUUGGCUGUUAUGUAGUGAUGCCGUCGCCCUCCAUCUUGUGAUCUGACAUCAUCCUGCAUUAUCACGUAACACUGAUUUUCUCAUAACUACCUGGUCUUUGGAGCCUAACUAUGUCAAUAAGUGAGGGGUGGAUUUAGAACCUUUGUCUUCAUCGAACUUUUAAACUUUUGAAACAGGUCUAUUUUCAAAUGUCCACAUUUGCUAUCAAGACAAAUCACACAGUGCACUUAGGUGUAGGGAAAGUAAAAGCUGCAGAAAAUAGUUGGUAUAAUUGAGGUGAGAGACCUAUGAAAAGAAAAUAUGAGUAUUCAAUAUUCAACCAACUGUAACUUCCAAACAUUAUUAAAUAUGACCAAUGACAGAGGAAAAAAGAGUAGUUGACAGCGAUUUUUCUCCCCAAAAUGUUUUGUUUCAGUAAGCAAAGUGCUGCUUCAGACAUUCGAGAACCUUCUCUGUGCCAGGCAUUGUUAUUCUUGGGAGUAAGAUAUUCUAUUUUUUUCCUCAUUCCACUUGGCCCUGAGAGCUGAGGGGAGCUGCAUUCUUGAGAAAUAUGACUUGGAUUCUGGCCAUGCUGCCACCAUUCCCUGUGAUUUUGGCUGUUUGGCCUCAGUUUCCUCAGCUGUAGUCAAAGAGGACCACACUAGAGCUCCUGAACAAGCCUCAGAUGCUGUUGGCGAGAUGCCUUUUACUCUCAAUCUGACCACUGCUAACUCAGUACCAGACGUGAGAGAUUUUGAAGGCACAGGGUAGGAAAAAAUCUCCAACUGCUAUGUUUAGCAUAUUGUAUUUAUUUGUCCAUAUGCUCUUUUCGUUUUCAAACUUCAUGUUCUAAAGUUUGUCUUAAAAUGGAUUCAUGGGUUCUGAAUGUUAAGAUACACAGUUACCAUCAUUUAAAAUCCCAGCAGAAAGGAGAUGACCAGUAUAGGGAACCACUUUAUUCCCAGGCCUUUGAGCGGAAUCAAGAGUAGGGUCCACCCGCCCCUCAGAGGAAGCCCGCAGAGAAGGAUGCAUUGCGUCAUUUCUCUCUCCUGAAAAUAGCAGUGACCCCUGGAGGCAGAAAUACCUUUUUUUUCUUAAGUGAGUCAUAAUACAAAAACAUUAAACAGUAUCGUCUCUGUCUUUUGUAUGUUGGAAAGAGCGUGCUUUGGAGUUAAAUUCAUAUGGAAUCAAAUCGUUUGCUGUCAUUUCCUACCUGUGUGACGUUGGAUACGGUGCUUCACUUGAGCAGUUCUGAGCCCCAGGAUCCAUCUGUUAGGUGGGGGUAAUCACUCCACCUUACAGUCGUGUUGGAGUUGCUGCUGGUUGAAUGCACAAGGUGGGCACUCUGAAAGUGUUUGCCACUGUUGCUAUAGAAACAGGUAGUAGCGAUUAAUAGUUCAGUUUGACUAAGGCGUGAGCAAAAGGAGGCGAAUUACAGCGGUUUAAUGUUUAUUAUAUGGAAAUACAUUGGCAUACUUGAUAUUGUGUUCUUUUUCUGUCCUGGCUUCUUAGUCCUUUGUAUUUCAAACCCAUUAAUUCCCAAUAAAGUCUUAAAAUAUCCCCAGAAUGGGUUGUCGUUGUUGUUAGCUGCCAAUGAGUUGGCGCUCAACUCAUGAAGGCCCCAUAUGACAGAGUAGAACUGCUCCAUACGGUUUUCUUGCCUGUACUCUUUACAGGAGCAGAUUGCCAGGUUUUCUUUCACAAAUCCACUGGGUUGGUUCAAACUUACAACCUUUAUUUAUUCAUUUCAUUGUAUUUUAGAUGAAGGGUUACAGAACAAACUAGCUUCUUAUUAAACAGUACACACGUCGUUUUAUGACAUUCGUUAACAACCCCAGGACAUGUCAACACUCUCCUUUCUCAACCUUGGGUUCCCUGUUACCAGCUUUCCUGUCCCCUCCUGCCUUCUUGUCCUUGCCCCUCGGCUGGUGUACGAUUUAGUCUCAUUUUUUUUAUGGGCGCGUCUAAUCUUUGGUUGAAGGGUGAACCUCAGGAGUGACUUCAUUGCUGAGCUAAAAGGGUGUCUGGGGGCCAUACUCUCAGGGGUUCUCCAGUCUGUCAGGCCAGCAAGUCUGGUCUUUCUUUUUGUGUUAGAGUUUUGUCCUACAUUUUUCUCCAGCUCUGACUGACAACCUUUAGCUAAGCAGCCAAUGGCAAACCGCUUGCAUUAUCCAGGCUCCUUCCAAAGUGGGUAAGGGGACAAAAUUUGUGUCCUUCUCUUAGGGAUUUGUGAAACUUAGGUUAAUAUUUAUACGGCACUGAAAUUAAUAGUCCUUUUUGUUAUGUAAGCACCCUGGUGGAACAGUGGUUAAGAUCACCGGCUGCUAACCAAAAGGUCAGUAGUUCCAAUCUACCAGCCACUCCUUGGAAACCAUUGGGGCAGUUCUACUCUGUCCUAUACUAACUCGAUGGCAAUGGGUUUUGGGUUUGGCUACGUAAGACAAGAUCUGUCAGUGGCUGCCCUAUAGGGAGUUUAGGAAUAUACAUUUUGCUACGAAAGGAGCAAAAUUUAUAAGCACUUUAGUGAUGGGCACUUUCCAGGCACUGGGGACGCAGCAAUGAGCAAAGCAGACAGACAGAAUGCUUGUUCUCUGGAUUGUGCGUCUGAGAGUGGGGGAGAGACUAAGUAAAAUACGUAUUAUGUUUGUAAGUUCAGUGGAGAAAAAGAAAAUGAGGAGUGAGGAGUAUUGGAAAGUUGUCAUUUUAAGUGAGGUGGUCAGGAAAGGCCUGCUGGCAGGGGUGAUAUUUGAGUGAGGGGGUAAGGAGGUCCCCCAGAGUCGCCUCAGAGGAAAGGCCUUCCCCAGCUUCCUCAUCCUUCCCCCCGACCAGCUCAGCCCUCGAGUCCAGCUGUCCUACCCCCACUGCCAGGACCCUAGUUCAGGCCUGCCUCCUUUCUUUCUAGGGCUCCCGUGAUAGCUCAUUGUCUAGUCUCCUGACUGCCGACUGACCCACUCAGUCAUCUUCGCUUUUGCCAUGUCGGUCUUUCCAAAAUAACCUAAAAUCCGGCGGUGGACCCACAUAAUCUUUAUGAGAAAGUCUAACCUUUUCAGGCUGGUGUAAAACUCCCCUCACGGCUUCCCUUCCCUUUUCAUUCUCACCUUCUGCCGCUUUUUCUCCACACAUCCUAAUUUCAUGCAUUCUGAGUUAUUUGUCCGUCCCAGAAGGACACUCCUUUGCCUUCUGGCCUCUCCCCGUGCCUGCUUUCCUAGAAUGACUAACUCUCCAUGGUCCGUUAGCGUUACAAGAUUUGGCUAAAGUGUUACCUUCUCAGCAAAGGCCUUGCUGACAUCCAGGCAAAACCAGGCUCUUCCUCCUCUGGGCUGGCUUCCUGAUUUGUUGCAUCUCUCUUGUUUUUGUUGUUAGCUGCUGUUUGAGUUGGCCCCUGGCCACCCCAUGCACAGCAGGAUAAAGCACUGCCUGGUCCUGGGCCGUCCCCACGAUCUGUUGCAGAGGUUGCGGAUUGGACCAUUGUGAUCCAUGGGCUGAUUGUUGAAAGUAGAUCACCAGGCCUUUUUUCCUAGUCUUAGUCUGGAAGCUCCACUGAAACCUGUUGAGCAUCAUAGCACCCAAGCCCCCACCGACAGAUGGGUGGUGGCUGUGCAGGAGGCACAUUUGUUAGGAAAGGAACCUGGGUCUGCCGCAUGGAAGACGAGAAUUCUGCCACUGACCCGUCACUGCCCCCGUUGUGUAUCUAGUGUAGUCCUGGUAACAGUACCUUGGAGUUAUCUCCUGUUGGUCUUCCCUCUCCAGCUGAUGGGCUCCUGGAGGACAACAGCUUUGACUACGGGUCUUUGUAUCUCUGCUGCUUGGCCUAAUGCAGCAAACUCCUAAUGCCCCCGUUCUCGCAGUGUGGUCCCUGAACUAGGAGCCUCAGCGUCUCUGUGGGCUUGUUAGGACCCCCACCCCAGCUUUACCAAGUCAGAAACCCCGGAGGUGGGGCCCAGCAGUCGAGUGUUCUGACAAGUUUAACAAGUGGUUUGAGGACCACUAGCCCAGGGAACGAGUGAUGGACAGACAGCAUUCACUCAGGAGUGAACUGUGGUUUCCUGGUAAGUGAGGAAGAAGCCUUCCACCUGUCUCCAGUCCUUAGAAAAGGAAGCAGCCAGGCUCCAGAAUUUAAAAUAGUGGGCGUUUGUAGCUAAGGGUGACAGUAUUUUUGAUGUCAUGAAUUUGUUCUGAAAAUCUAUGGUGAGUCCAUUGACUUAAAUCUUUACAAUUAGAAGGUAGGUAAGCUAAAAGGAGCGCACAAACUUGCUAUUUUAAAAAUCGCCUAUAAUAGCUCUGUCAGAGAGGACAGUUACUGUUGCUAUUUUUAUUCACCUGUUUAUGCUUUGAGAUUUGUUAUGUGUGUAUAUUUUUUACUCAGAAACCUUUUAUUUGAGACAUUUGAAAUAAAAAAUUAGUUGACAUAAACUGUUUUUUUUAUUAACUUUUAUUGAGCUUCAAGUGAACAUUUACAAAUCAAGUCAGUCUAUCACAUAUAAGUUUAUAUACAUCUUACUUCUUACUCCCACUUGCUCUCCUCCUAAUGAGUCAGCCCUUCCAGUCUCUCCUUUCGUGACAAUUUUGCCAGCUUCCAACUCUCUCUAUCCUCCCAUCCCCCCUCCAGACAGGAGAUGCCAACACAGUCUCAAGUGUCCACCUGAUAUAAUUAGCUCACUCUUCAUCAGCAUCACUCUCCUACCCACUGUCCAGUCCCUUUCAUGUCUGAUGAAUUGUCUUCGGGGAUGGUUCCUGUCCUGUGCCAACAGAAGGUUUGGGGACCAUGACCGCCGGGAUUCCUCUAGUCACUAAACUCAAUUUUUUUGACCUUUAUAUAGGCAUCUCUUCACUUUCUAACGUCUAAGACAGGAAUUCAUGAAAUAAGAUAAAUCAUGGGCCAUAUUACAUGCAGUUUUACCUGACUGCUGCCAAUUUUUUAAACUUAGGAGGCUGGUCACUUGAUUUUUGCUUAUAAUACAUAAUUUUGUUCCUGUGAGCUAAUCAGAAUUCAGUUGGUGUCAUGUUAACUUAAAGGACUUGUCGGGAAAGUAGUCUGCCAUAAGAAUAAAGACAACAAGAAAUCUUGAUUCUUUCCUUUCUGGUUUCUAGAACCUUUCUGGUGCUAGACCAGACUUUUUCAUAAAGAGAAAGCUUUCAUAGCUCCACUCCCGUUACAACGUCUAAUACACCUGCGUCUACUGAGGUAAAGAUAUAUUUUUUUAAGAGUUCUUGCAUAGUUAGAAAACCAAAACAAAUUAUAAAUUAAAUGCCAUAAAAUAUAGAACUGAUGAAAUUCAAAUUAGGGAUCUUAACAUAAGGAUGUUGUUUUCCUGAAAUUAAAUGCCAGUGCUGGGUUUAACAGUAGCCAGAAAUAUUUAUGUAUUUGCUUUUUCACUAGCUAACUUUAUUAUUUCCACGUUGGGUGUGACGGGUCAUCGUGGAAAUUAGCAUCAUCAUAGACAUUGCUGUUUUUGGCCCAGUCGGUUAUUUUGAUGGCCGGUUUAAUAGUGCAUUGUGAAAGUACCAAGAAGUAACCGCUCACUGAACAACGAACUUAAGGCUGCACUCACUGCUGUGAAGCAUUGGAAAAUGGCUCAUGAAAACAACCAGCCUGCCCAGUACACUUGAAUGUGGAACUGAACUGCCCUGGCGCACGUCUGAGUUUUGCAUGUCUGUAUACCACUCUCUGCUCUGUUCUGCCUGCGUCACUUGGCCUCAACCUGGCACCAGUAGAUUUAUAAACUCCACCCGUGCCAGCACUAGCUGCAGUGAUGGUCAUUAUGAAGACUCAAUUUUUUUUCAGCUUAACAUGAAAAUGAAAACAAUUUUCAAUUCUCAGAGAACUCAUGGACCUUCAGGAAUCUGAGAAACUCAGAUCCAAGAAACUCAGCUUUAUUAUCUCUAAGUACUUUUUUACCAUAAAUAUAGUAUUAGUAACAACUAGAUCACAAAUCCAUGAAGCAAUAACAUUUAAAUAAAUUCGCAGUAUAAAAAAGCCCUCAACACAAGUUUUAAAACUUUGGCUAAGUUUAAAUCAGACCAUUUCCUGCUGUGAAUAUUUUUUAAAUCUACUUUGUAUUUUUGUCUGUCCUACAUUCGUUCUGCCCUCUUCUUGCCCAGUGUACUUGCCCACUCCCACUCCUCUGCCCUCUUCUGUGUUUUUACAGCUUCGUGUUUUUGGAGCCCUGGUGGCGCAGUGGUUAAGUGUUUGGCUAUUAACUAAAAAGUCAGCAGUUUGAAUCCACCAGCCGUUCCUUGGAAACCCUAUGGGACAGUUCUGCUCUGUCCUGUAGGGGUCGCUAUGGGUCAGAAUUGAUUCAGUGGCAACAGUUUUUUUUUUUUUAUGCUUUUGACGAGGCUACUACAGUCACAAUUCCCUGCCAUCAUCAGCUUUGAUGUGCCAUCCAUCCUCCAUGGUUGGCCCAUGGGUGCACUUAGGGUCCACACCAGGCCAGUGAAGAGCCUUCUUCCUCAGAAGUUAAACUAGGAUGAUAUAGGAGUAGAGCUUCUUGUAGCUAUGGUUUCCCACUUUUCCUCCCCUACCAAAAAAAAAAAAAAAGUUUCUUCCCAUUGAGUCAA